Molecule: ribosomal RNA, 1452 nt
Filed under: Triticum aestivum (bread wheat)
Lineage: Eukaryota; Viridiplantae; Streptophyta; Magnoliopsida; Poales; Poaceae
Description: partial small subunit ribosomal RNA
Source: RNAcentral
AUGGAGCGGCGCACCAAGGCAAGGCAAGGCAAGGAGAGGGUAAUCCGGGAUCCUCGUCGAGCCUUCUCUUCGCCGCUGUCCUUCUUCCGCGAAGCUCCCUCGUGCUCCUCCGCCUCCCGCCCAUCAGCUACGUCGGCGGCGGCUGCAGCUGCCUCUCCGGCCUUGCUGCGCGUUGGCUCUGCGUCCGCGUCGGCUACUGCCGCUCCAGCCGAGGUGAGCGCCGGCUCUGCGCCCCUGUGGGAGGCGGCGGCCGCCGCGGCCUUGCUGGGCGUCGCCUUGGCAUCCGAGCCGCCCCUGUUCGUCGUCCCGGCAUCCCAGACGACCUCGAUGCUGCUGCCGUCUGCCUUGCCCGGCGACCCGUCUGGUCCGGGCGAUGUGGUGAUGCCCGUCACAGUGCAGGGAGCUCCCAAUGCUCUGGCAGCAGCCUCCCAAUGCAGUCUGCAGCUCGUCCCAAUCGCUCCACUUGCGCCGCUUCAGACGUCGACUGCAUCGCCCACCGCCGCCGCUCUAGCGGCGGAUGCCCUUGCUCGGCGCAGGUCGGACCCGGCCAUUAGUGGGCUUAUGGCCGGUGCUCGUCCCAAUUGCGGUCGUGGCCUGCAGGCCACCACCCCGGCUCCUCUUGCCACCGGCCAGCUGCCGUCGUCCCCGGUGUCGACGCCUACACCCUUGACGGGGCCAGGUCAGGUGGCCGCUCCCGUGCUGUCUGGUUGGGGGGACUGGCUAGGAUGCUUCGGAAGGAAGACGACGUCCGCUGAUCCCAUGUGUUGUGCGCCAACAGCUCGUGAGGAAACAUUGGGAGACUGGCACCUCGUUACCGGCCGCCGCCGUUCGCCAUCUUCAAAUGCCUUCCGUCGGCCCGGUUCCAAUGCCCGGAUGGCUCAUCCGGCGUGGCUCCGGGAUCGAUGCUUUCGGUGUCUCUCCAAAGGUCAUCACGCUCACUCUUGCAGGGACCCAAUUCGGUGCUCAGGAUGCCUUCGUUUCCGCCACAAAGUGCGUUUUUGUCAUGCUCAGCACCGAUCCGAUCUGACUACAAAGCCGCGUGAUGAUGCUGCAAAGCCUAACCCAGCGCCUGCAUCGGAGGUUGACGCAACACCGGCUGACGUGCAAUUGCAACCCGUCCUAGCGGAGGAGACCGAGCUGCUUCGCACUGAGCUGCGCGACUGCCUUGCGCGAGUUGAGAGUGUUUUGGGGAGAGCAGAGGCUGCUCUCGCCAAACUAGAGGUUGUGCCAGCUGUGUCCUCACUUCCUGAGCUUCAGAUCGGGUCUCCUGUUGGGGAGGAAGCAAGCCUCUAUGGACAUUUCUCCCCUCGUGCUACAUCAUGUUCGUCGAUGUCUGUACUGCUCACUGGCCCUGGGUGUGUAGUCAUCGAUGAGGUCAUGGCUCCAGUGCUGGAGAUUAUGCCUGAGUUGCAGGAGCGUUGUGGGGAGCCUACUUCACCUCUUUCAAUGUAG